RNAcentral lists this ribosomal RNA (690 nucleotides) under uncultured Bacteroidales bacterium. RNAcentral's name for it is "bacterial SSU rRNA". It matches the Rfam family "Bacterial small subunit ribosomal RNA", at positions 32 to 715 of the family's 1533-position model. The record is from RNAcentral. Lineage: Bacteria; Pseudomonadati; Bacteroidota; Bacteroidia; Bacteroidales.
AACGCUAGCUACAGGCUUAACACAUGCAAGUCGAGGGGCAGCACAAGGCAGCAAUGCUGAGGUGGCGACCGGCGCACGGGUGCGUAACGCGUAUCCAACCUUCCCGUUACUCAUGGAUAGCCUUCCGAAAGGGAGAUUAAUACAUGAUGGUGUUGAAAUUCCGCAUGUUAUUUCAACUAAAGAUUUAUCGGUGACGGAUGGGGAUGCGUUCCAUUAGCUUGUUGGCGGGGUAACGGCCCACCAAGGCUUCGAUGGAUAGGGGUUCUGAGAGGAAGGUCCCCCACACUGGAACUGAGACACGGUCCAGACUCCUACGGGAGGCAGCAGUGAGGAAUAUUGGUCAAUGGCCGGAAGGCUGAACCAGCCAAGUAGCGUGAAGGAUGAAGGUUCUAUGGAUUGUAAACUUCUUUUAUGAGGGAAUAAAACCUCCCACGUGUGGGAGCUUGUAUGUACCUUAUGAAUAAGCAUCGGCUAACUCCGUGCCAGCAGCCGCGGUAAUACGGAGGAUGCGAGCGUUAUCCGGAUUUAUUGGGUUUAAAGGGAGCGUAGACGGGAGAUUAAGUCAGCUGUGAAAGUUUGAGGCCCAACCUUAAAAUUGCAGUUGAUACUGGUUUUCUUGAGUGCGGUUGAGGUGUAUGGAAUUCGUGGUGUAGCGGUGAAAUGCUUAGAUAUCACGAAGAACUCCGAUUG